RNAcentral lists this non-coding RNA (215 nucleotides) under Peptoclostridium litorale. Its description in RNAcentral is "Clostridium litorale T-box sequence". It matches the Rfam family "T-box leader". From Rfam's summary of the family: Uncharged tRNA acts as the effector for transcription antitermination of genes in the T-box leader family. The record is from RNAcentral. Lineage: Bacteria; Bacillati; Bacillota; Clostridia; Peptostreptococcales; Peptoclostridiaceae.
ACAAAUGCUUUGAAAGGGAAUAGUAAAAAGAUGAAGCUUUAUAGAGAGGGGAUUGUCCGGUGAAAUAUCCUCAUGAUGGAAUCUUUUGAACCCGCCCUGGAGCAGGAAGGCUGAAGAUAUUAGGCCUUCACGGUUUGUGCCCGUUAAAGCUUUUCAAGAGGACGCAGUUUGCGUCAACUAGAGUGGUACCGCGAAUAUUACCGUUCGUCUCUAUU